RNAcentral lists this ribosomal RNA (497 nucleotides) under uncultured bacterium. RNAcentral describes it as "partial 16S ribosomal RNA". It matches the Rfam family "Bacterial small subunit ribosomal RNA", at positions 28 to 507 of the family's 1533-position model. The record is from RNAcentral.
GAUGAACGCUGGCGGCGUGCCUAAUACAUGCAAGUCGAGCGAACGGACGAGAAGCUUGCUUCUCUGAUGUUAGCGGCGGACGGGUGAGUAACACGUGGAUAACCUACCUAUAAGACUGGGAUAACUUCGGGGAACCGGAGCUAAUACCGGAUAAUAUUUUGAACCGCAUGGUUCAAAAGUGAAAGACGGUCUUGCUGUCACUUAUAGAUGGAUCCGCGCUGCAUUAGCUAGUUGGUAAGGUAACGGCUUACCAAGGCAACGAUGCAUAGCCGACCUGAGGGGGUGAUCGGCCACACUGGAACUGAGACACGGUCCAGACUCCUACGGGAGGCAGCAGUAGGGAAUCUUCCGCAAUGGGCGAAAGCCUGACGGAGCAACGCCGCGUGAGUGAUGAAGGUCUUCGGAUCGUAAAACUCUGUUAUUAGGGAAGAACAUAUGUGUAAGUAACUGUGCACAUCUUGACGGUACCUAAUCAGAAAGCCACGGCUAACUACGUG